GAAAUGCGAUAAGUAAUGUGAAUUGCAGAAUUCAGUGAAUCAUCGAAUCUUUGAACGCACAUUGCGCCCUUUGGCAUUCCGAAGGGCAUGCCUGUUCGAGCGUCAUUACACCAAUCAAGCCUGGCUUGGUAUUGGGCGACGGGGUCGGUCGAACCACCCCCCGCCCCAAAGACCCUUCCGGCGGGACGGACCGAAUCUCAGCGUUGUGCAAACGUGUCGCUGGCGAGACGGGACGGCCGUGCCGUUAAACCCCAUUUUCUUCAAGGUUGACCUCGGAUCAGGUAGGGAUACCCGCUGAACUUAAGC
RNAcentral lists this unclassified non-coding RNA (306 nucleotides) under plant metagenome. RNAcentral describes it as "partial contains 5.8S ribosomal RNA, internal transcribed spacer 2, and large subunit ribosomal RNA". The stretch from base 1 to 105 matches the Rfam family "5.8S ribosomal RNA", at positions 50 to 154 of the family's 154-position model. The record is from RNAcentral.